Camelus dromedarius (Arabian camel) is the source of this 2466-nucleotide long non-coding RNA. RefSeq lists it as uncharacterized. The record is from RefSeq and is a predicted model, not a curated record. The transcript has 9 exons. NCBI's taxonomy places the organism in Eukaryota, Metazoa, Chordata, Mammalia, Artiodactyla, Camelidae.
AAUGGCUGUGAGUUUCACCUGCCGUUAUACCUUUGGGAAGUCAGACUGAAUUCUGUUUGUAGAGAGGAGUUCCCUCGUGCACAGAGCAAUGAAUGGGUAGCUGUGGACCAUUUCACGUCAAGAGGGAACUGAAUUCUUUUAGCCAUUGAUUUGCCCAAGUUUAGGCUCAAUUAAAAGAUACGUAUUUGAAGCAGCUGAACGGAGCUCAAAAGCCUCAGCUUUGACAUCCUGAUUCUACACCAGCCAGCAUGGGAGACAGGAGGGAAAGAGCUUUGUUCCUCCCGACGUGUUCCCAUCACACUUCAUGGCUGAGCAAUGACAGUCAUGUUGUUCUGCUGCUGCUACAGCUUGUAUACCAACCACUGACUGUUCUCAUGACAACACCACGAAGGGAAACUGUCACGAUUCCCAUUUUCACAGGUGACAAAGAGACGUAACAAAGUCAUGGAACUUACCUAAGGUUAAAAGUAGAGUCCAAAUCUGUGAGGAAACACAGAAGCACAUGUGGGAGAAGCCAAGGCUUAGGCCUGAACCUUGUUUUUCUGGGGAUGAGUCUUAUCACGGGCGCUGAGGACCCAGCGGGCAACACGACAGGCGAGAUGCCUUCCUUCACAGAAAUGCCUGCCUCAGAGGAGACAGAGCUUGUACCCCAGAGAUACCUGUUCGGAGAGCUCGGGAGGCAUUUCCAUAGGCUCAUUGUCAAGUGAAUGUUAAAGCCCCCAUUCACUGGGAAGCGAAGGAUUGUUUGGGGCCUUCUGCAUAUGAGAGCUAUUAAAAAGAUGAAAAAGUAGGACUGAAAUAUGAGGGGAGAAAUAGAGAAGACCGUGGUUUCCAGCCUCUUUUGUGGGAGAAUAAUUUAUUUGUUUGACAGAAAUGAGAUUAUUUUAAGAGAUUAACACAUGAAUUAAUGCCCGAAACUACAGAAUACUCAGAGGACUUGAAACACACACAAAGUUCCACAUAGAGGAAAGCAGAUGGACUAGAUUGACAGCUUGAGAUGAAGUUUAAGAAGAUGAAGGAUCCUGGGCAUUGAGGAAGCAUGGCAAAUGAGAAGGAAACUGUGAGAAAAGGGAUUUUUCUCGUGUUUUUCCUUGGAGGGUGACAGAGACCCUGCUAAAGGGGAAAAGUGAAGAACCUUUGCCCACCAUUCUCUGGAUUUGAUGUGUACAUGACUGUCUAAUAGUAACAGAUUUUCCACAAUUUCAAAUAUUAAGUAUAUAAUAAAAGCUGUAAAGGGAAGAUCAGGCUAUAUCGUGAAAAGGUAGAACUGAGGAAGCGAUUUUGCUAGGCUGAAGGAUACAAAAGGAAAGAACACAUUGCAAAGGCAAUAGAGAGGAGAGAAUUAAUGGAGUAGGAUACUAGAAGAGAGUAUUUAUAUAUUUUUGUGUAUGAGUGAGUGUGUGCACAUGCAUGUGCUGGGACCCGAAGGAAACAGGGAUUGGAUUAGGGCAAUAUUUUGGUUUAUAUUCAGUUCUUUGAACAAUACUCAGUUUUAUAGACUGUUCAUGUUUGAUAUCUCUGUACACCUCUCCCAUGAACCAAUCGAGAAUGUUGCUUUCUUUUGACAGUAGCAUUUUGUAGAUGCAAUUUGGUCUUAUAUUUCCACAAAUAAAAAACAAAAAAAUCACACUUUAUAGCUCUGUGAACACUCAGAGAAAACUUUCUUAGGAUGAUACAUGGCAAAGAAAAGAAUGUUUCCUCUAUUUCAUGUAUAGAAAGCACAUUAAUAUUUUCCCUAGAUAUAGAACUGGUCAUAUAUGCCUUUGACUGUUCUUACUGCAGUGUACUGUCAACAUGGAAUACAUUUUAGGGGUUGAAGACCAGUCAAAGGGGGAAAAGGAACAACUAAGCAAAAUGAAUCUGCAGGAUAUUUCUGUCCUGUUUUCAUAAUUCGCUGUUAUGUAGUUAGGACCUCAAGGAGCAAGGGCUACAUUUUCCUUUUUCAUUUUGAAACAAUCACAACAUUAUUUAAUCAGGAGAAAAAAUUUAUUUUACAAAAUCUUUAAGGAAGGAGGAGUAUUUCUUCAUGAUCUACCAAUGAAGUUUGAAUAGAAGUAAUAGGAAGCCUCUUCCCUACAUUGUCAUCAAAACAUCCCAAAGUUUUAUCCUGCCUGGAAAAUUCCUCACACAUGAUUCUGAUUUCUUAGCUUCAAACUGUGCCUGGGAGGAAUCUUUUGUUCUCGGUGCUGCCAAAACUUCCACCUUCCAGCAAUGACCUCAGUUUAGCACCUGCUCAUAAGAUGUGUUUGCACAUCGUUGGUACAUUAUGAUGACAUAUAUGUUCCCAUCAAGGAGACUGUCAUAGAAUCCAGAAGAUGUUAACAUUUUUCCAUCUGUGUGUGAAAGUGACGUUUCCUGUUAAUUUUGUUCUCUUGCUGAACUCUCCAAGCAAAAGCCUUCUGUGGGAGGCAGAAUGAUGUCAUUACAGUCAUAGCAUAAAUUUUUCAACCUUUAGAAUGAGACAUA